GAUGAACGCUGGCGGCGUGCUUAACACAUGCAAGUCGAACGGAAAGGCCAUGCUUUUGUGGGGUUCUCGUGUGGCGAACGGGGGAGUAACACGUGUGUAACCUGCCCCUGACUGUGGGAGAACAUCUGGAAACAGGGGCUAAUACCGCAUAUGAGCUCCUGCUGCACGGUGUGGGGUGGAUAGUUGCGGCGGUUGGGGAUGUACUCGCGGCUUAGCAGCUUGUUUGUGGGGUGGUGGCUUACCCAGUCUCUGACGGGUAGGCGGCAUUGGAGGGUGACCAGCGACAUUGGGACUGAGGGACGGCCCAGAGUGCUACGGGGGACAGCAGGGGGGAAUAUUGCACAAUGGGCGGGAGCCUGAUGAGGAAACGCCGCGUGCGGGAAGACGGUCUUCGGGUUGUAAAACGCUUUCGCCUGUGACGAAGCGUGAGUGACGGUAAUCGGUAAAGAAGCACCGGCUAACUACGUG
Molecule: ribosomal RNA, 468 nt
Filed under: uncultured bacterium
Lineage: Bacteria
Description: partial 16S ribosomal RNA
Rfam family: Bacterial small subunit ribosomal RNA
Source: RNAcentral